UUAAUACGAUUUGAGCUCUUGUCUUUUCUACCUCAUAUCUUGAAAAUUUUUAAGGUGAAGUUGUUUUAACUAUCGUGUAUGCAAUAAAUCGUAUUACAACCACAUAAACAUACCAAAUCAGAACCACAUACCCAAAUUUGUUGUUUCGUUGGUUAUGGGAUUGAACAAAGGAGUUGUCAUUGUUGGGAUUCAAUUUCAAGUAGGUUACUUAUCUAGGUAUGCCACAUUUUGGGAGGAGAUAUUGCUUUCCUCUUUAUCGAAAUUUCAUUCCUCUUUUUCUAGUACUUCUCAGUUCUUUACUGACACAUCUAGUAAGUUAUUUUCCUAAUUUUGCUAAUAAUACUUCUGAUGAACUUACUCAUAUUCCCACCCUUGCUCUUACUGUCACGACCCGAAACUCCCAUCGAGCCUGUGACAACCGCCGUGACGUCCCGAUAGGCGCUCAUUACCUCGAAUGCCGAUCGAAACCUCGCAAGGCUUAGCAUCAGCUUCUGCAUCUCCCUAGUGAGUGACAGUUAUUAAAUCUCACAUUUUAAAAAAAAUCAUAAGUCAUUUCCAAAUCAAAACAAUAAAAUAUUACUUUUUGGCUCACAGGGGCAUUUUCAUCAUUUUUCUUCGAAAAUACCGAAACUCGCCAAAAACAUGGUGUAAAAGCAAAAUAUAUUCAUACAUAUUUUAAAUUAAAUAAUUUAAGAAUAAAAUUACUUUUACAGUGACACGUGGGCCCCCAACUGACUAAGAAAAUGUAGGGUUAUGAACCCUUACUUUCUAAGAUGCAACUCCGAGAUUAAUUCUCGUCUUAAUCAACUAUCAACAAAUUGUCCUGAGCUUGAAAAAUGUAUAGAAAGAAGGGGUGAGAUUAUAAAAUCCCAGUGAGUAGACAGACAUCAUCAAAAUAAUCUAAAGUCGAGUAAUAGGAGACAAUUAAAAUAAUUCAUCCCAACCCAUAUAAAUAAUUGGAUUUUAUCCAAUUACUCAACAUGGCUUAUGCACUUUUCAAAAACUUGGCCCUUGCCAAAAAUCCAUUCUUGGGGAUACCCCGCGAAGGCAUCUUACCGAGACCGCCAAGGCUGUUUAUUGUCACACACACAAACACAUUUCACCUUUGACAACACAGUCGUUCCUCGGCGUUGGCUGAGUCCCAGUUUCACGUGGUGGCCAGCAUGAAGUGUACUCAAAUCCUACCUCGGGAGUUAUCUUACGCGCCUCUCCAAUCGAGGUAAUCUCAAUAAUUAGGAAUCGUGCCCUUCUAAUUAGGUUGACCCACGGAACCCCCGUCACUACAAUGCCCACUUUAUAAUCUACCAACCAAUAAAAUCACAAUAGUAUGACAUGGCUCACUUAACACAUUCAAGGCAAAGCAAAGCAGUUCACAUAUUCUUUAAAUCAUAAAAAUAAGCAGUCAUAACUACAUUUAUCAUAAGCCAUUUAAUGAAAAUCAUGGAUAAACAACACAAUCAUAGUAUAGGUCUCCAAUUACUCUAUUUUUGAAAUCAUUAUUAAAUUUUCAAAAAUUUUAUAAAAUUAUUUUAUAAAAUCUCAUUUUCCCAUAAAACACAAUAAUUUUUCAAUUAAACCAUUUUUCCAUAAAAUCACACAAUUAAAUAAAUCUACUCUAGAUAAUUAAGACGAUAGUAAGUUUACUCACUGUUCUAGGAGUCGAUAUACUUCUAUUUUCAGUCCGCGGGUACAGUCCUUUACCCGUAUCUAAUGGCUCACCACCUAGCCAUAAUCCAUGGCACAUAUUUCAAUUAAAUUGUGUCUAACAGUCAUAAGCUAUUUCAGGCUCGAUAUAUAUGCAUGAUAUGAAAUGAAAAAUGCACAGGUAGCCAUCUAGACCCGGUAUUGACCUAAGUCGAUUUUUCAUCCAAUAAAUUGGCCAAUGCGUCCAAUUUCACUCCAACUUUCUCCAUUUCUUUUCCAAUCCCUCAAUUCACCAAGCACAACUAAUUAACACACAAUUAGGCAAAUUUAUCUUCACUUUUCUUCUUGGAACUUUCGGCCAUUGAAGGUUCAUGGGGAAAAUGGAUUCUUUUCUUGUUGUUUUGUUUCUAAACAUGUUUAACUAACUCUAAACACCAACAUAACUCAAAAUCAAACAAUUCCAACAUCUUUCUCUCUCCAUACCCAUUUUGACCAGCCAUAAUUUCAUCAUGAAAACAUGUAAUUUAACCAUGGAAAUUAAGAAAAAAUGCAUGGGUAAGGUAAAUCACUAGCAAAAUCAAAGAAAUUUUACCUUUGCUUGAUCAAAUCCUUGAAUUCCAACACUUUCUCUUUGAUUUUUCCCACCUAGGGUUUGUGCUUCCUUGGUUUCUCUUCUCUUCUAGUUUCGCUGAUCACUAUGG
This 2345-nucleotide long non-coding RNA is filed under the name Theobroma cacao (cacao). RNAcentral describes it as "long non-coding RNA (TCAC_LNC002005)". The record is from RNAcentral. Lineage: Eukaryota; Viridiplantae; Streptophyta; Magnoliopsida; Malvales; Malvaceae.